CCUACGGGGUGCAGCAGUGAGGAAUAUUGGUCAAUGGCCGGAAGGCUGAACCAGCCAAGCCGCGUGAAGGACGAAGGUGCCAAGCAUUGUACACUUCUUUUGUCAAGGGACAAAAUCAGGCUCGAGAGCCUGACCGAGGGUACUUGAAGAAAAAGCAUCGGCUAACUCCGUGCCAGCAGCCGCGGUAAUACGGAGGCUGCGAGCGUUAGCCGGAUUUAUUGGGUUUAAAGGGUGCGUAGGCGGGCUGUUAAGUCAGCGGUAAAAUCCCGGGGCUCAACCCCGGCGAGCCGUUGAAACUGGCUGUCUUGAGAUGUCGAGAGGUAUGCGGAAUGCGCAGUGUAGCGGUGAAAUGCUUAGAUAUUGCGCAGAACUCCGAUUGCGAAGGCAGCAUACCGGCGGCGAGCUGACGCUGAGGCACGAAAGCGUGGGUAUCGAACAGGAUUAGAUACCCUUGUAGUC
Molecule: ribosomal RNA, 459 nt
Filed under: uncultured bacterium
Lineage: Bacteria
Description: partial 16S ribosomal RNA
Rfam family: Bacterial small subunit ribosomal RNA
Source: RNAcentral